This is a long non-coding RNA of Helianthus annuus (common sunflower), 1305 nucleotides long. RefSeq lists it as uncharacterized. The record is from RefSeq and is a predicted model, not a curated record. NCBI's taxonomy places the organism in Eukaryota, Viridiplantae, Streptophyta, Magnoliopsida, Asterales, Asteraceae. The transcript is spliced from 8 exons.
UUCUCAUUUACGCUAAACAAUGUCUCUCUCCUCUCUAAACCCUAAUUCGAACUCUCUCUCUCUUCUCUUCUCUGGCGAACACGGAGACUAAAGAAGAUCCAAUAAUUUUGAUCAAGAAUCAACGGAUUUGAAGACAAAUCAUCUACGGAAUAUCAAAUCCUCGAGAUCAAAUCGGCGAUUUAGUGAAGAGGGAACAAGCUGAUAAGAUGGAUAAGGAUGUUCCAGAUGAUGCCUCAAACGAUGUCUUGAAUGAGGAUCAAGAGAUGGACGAGCAAGUUGUAGCUCAACCUCAACAUGAUGACAGCUAUUUCACUAGAAUCGUCUCAAAGCAUCAAAAUAUUCAUCAAAAUGAUUACCGUUGCUUGAAGACUAACGAUCAAGUAAUAAAUAACCAACUAAUGUAGCUGGGGAAAUCGAUUAAUAGGCGAUGUCGGAUCAGUCAUCUAGGGUUCCGACCGAGGAGUUCAACCAGUGAGAGAUAGAGAAUGAGUCGGCGAGAAAGGCAUACGCCUUCGAGGUUCUGCCAACCAUCUUGGCGCGUGCCUUACAUUACCCGAUAGAGCAUGAUAUGGCAAGUAUAGCGACGAUGUGUGUUUGGACGUUUGGUGAUGGCUCAGUCGAAGCGUUAGACGAUGACGGUUGUUUCAUUUUGUUUUGGGAAACAUGACGCUUGAGGCGAUCACCACUGUCAGAUCUGAGAGUAAGCAUACUUUAAGAAAUUGUAAUACUUUUCAAUAGAACGUAAGGUUAUUGUAUACCCUUUGGUUAAUCUCUAUAUCGAUUACUAUGAUCUCAAUAGUUUUUAUCUUGAAAAAAUUGCAGUGUAGUUCAGUUUUAGGUAAAAGUUUGUAAUUGGGUAAAUUGCAGAAAUAUAAAUACUCAGUUGCAAACUAGAUUUGGGUAAAUUGCACUUAUGAUGCUUUUGACAACAUAGUGUAGUCUAUUAAAUUCGUGAUCAACUGUAAUCUGGAUGUAAUUUAGGUAUAAUAUCAAGUGUCGUAGUUAAUUCUCAGCACAUGGACAUGUUUGGUACAUGGGUUAAAAUUUGAUUAUGGGUCAACUAAAGCCUCAACUAUAAUGAAGUUUGGCUUGCAUACAACCUGUUGAUUAUUGAAGACUUGAAGACAUGAAGGAAAAUUUGGGUUCAUUUCUUUGGGUGAUGAAUGUUGUCCCUGAAGAUGGAUCUAACACAUUGAAGCUUAUUUACGAUAGAGGCCAUCGAUUCAAUUCAUAACUGGUGUGAAGCAUACUCAACCUACCCGCGUGCAUACAAUCUUCUCCUUGCUAGCAACGUGUUUGUCACAC